GACGAACGCUGGCGGCGUGCUUAACACAUGCAAGUCGAACGGAAAGGCCCUGCUGUUGUGGGGUGCUCGAGUGGCGAACGGGUGAGUAACACGUGAGUAACCUGCCCUUGACUUUGGGAUAACUUCAGGAAACUGGGGCUAAUACCUGAUAGGAGCUCCUACUGCAUGGUGGGGGUUGGAAAGUUACGGCGGUUGGGGAUGGACUCGCGGCUUAUCAGCUUGUUGGUGGGGUAGUGGCUUACUAAGGCAUUGCCUGGUAGCCGGCCUGAGGAGGGGACCGGCCACAUUGGGACUGAGAUACGGCCCAGACUCCUACAGAAGGCAGCAGUGGGGAAUAUUGCACAAUAGGCGGAAGCCUGAUACAGCAACGCCGCGUGCGGGAUGACGGCCUUCGGGUUGUAAACCGCUUUCGCCUGUGACGAAGCGUGAGUGACGGUAAUGGGUAAAGAAGCACCGGCUAACUACGUG
Molecule: ribosomal RNA, 468 nt
Filed under: uncultured bacterium
Lineage: Bacteria
Description: partial 16S ribosomal RNA
Rfam family: Bacterial small subunit ribosomal RNA
Source: RNAcentral